CUGAGUUUUUAUCGUAGGCUCACUCUUCCUCUGCAGCAGCCAGGCUUGCAGAACAGGAUCUGGAAGUCUUGUGGGGGAACAGGAAAGAGAAUGUAAUUCCAGUGCCUUCGUAGCUCUCCCAUGCCUUUAAACAGAUUUCUUAAAUGCUUAAUCCAGCUUUUAAAGUUAUCCUCAGCAGGUAAAUUGGUCUGAUAGAAGCUAGUCUACUUUAGCCAGAAACAGAAGCAUGUGGGUGUUGGGCUUAUUCCCGAGGUUGCCCUCCGCCCUGGUUAAUUGGGAUCUGGGAGUGUGCAGGGGUGAGGUGUUGAGGCUGCUCAGCUGUUGUAAUUCAAUUUGCACCACCAUUUCAUCUGGUGGACUGUGGCCUCCUGUGGCUGCUGUUGCUCCCUGGAAAUCUGGGCCAGCCCUCUUCCCAGCACCCGCAUCCUCAGGAACCUCCCACAUCACUCUUACUCAUCGCCGGCUGGGGCUUAUUCACUACCUUGGGA
This 488-nucleotide long non-coding RNA is filed under the name Homo sapiens (human). RNAcentral describes it as "non-protein coding lnc-DMBX1-3:1". The record is from RNAcentral. Lineage: Eukaryota; Metazoa; Chordata; Mammalia; Primates; Hominidae.